CUUGAACGCUGGCGGCCGGCCUAACACAUGCAAGUCGAGCGCGCGGCGGACGGGUGAGUAAUGUCUGGGAACCUGACUGAUGGAGGGGGAUAACUACUGGAAACGAUAGCUAAUACCGCAUACCAUCAGCUGUGCCCAGAUGGGAUUAGCUAGUAGGUGGGGUAACGGCGCACCUAGGCGACGAUCCCGAGCGGGUCUGCGAGGAUGAUCAGUCACACGGGAACUGAGAAACGGUCCAGACUCCUACGGGAGGCAGCAGUGGGGAAUAGUGGACAAUGGGCGAAAGCCUGAUCCAGCCAUGCCGCGUGUGUGAAGAAGGUCUUCGGAUUGUAAAGCAAUUUAAGUUGGGAGGCGUUACCAACAGAAUAAGCACCGGCUAACUUCGUGCCAGCAGCCGCGGUAAUAC
RNAcentral lists this ribosomal RNA (406 nucleotides) under uncultured bacterium. RNAcentral's name for it is "partial 16S ribosomal RNA". It matches the Rfam family "Bacterial small subunit ribosomal RNA", at positions 30 to 526 of the family's 1533-position model. The record is from RNAcentral.